CAACAUAGAGACGAGUGUUUGCGCUUGCAGGAGGCAGACUAUUUUUUUUUUCCUGACACCGCCUCGCUUCCCACUCGCCUCGCCAGCGGGAGGGGCGUGCGUGUUCGUGGAGGUUCGCUUUGAUAGCGCCGCCGCCGAUUCCCUCGCUCUCCCUCGGAUCCCCAGCGAUCGCUCUUUAGUUAUUAUUCCAUUGCUAAACCGAGGAGUCCGACUGCCACAACCCGCCUAAUUCUUUUAUUCCUCUUCGCUUUCUUUUUAUUUUUUAUUUUUAAAUUGUGUUAAUCUUCUAUCUUCCUCACCGCACACUUUCCUCUCUGGCAGCUUCAGCGUCAGAGAGUUGCAGUUCAUUCGUGGCCUUUUAUGGAAUAAGAGGACUGUUCUUGAUCGUGACCGGCAGGAGCGGAAAGCGAAGACUCCUUAAGAUUCCCAGAGAGGUCCGAGCUGGCUGCAUUUAGUUGUCCAGAAAGUGGAUAUUGCUUUUACUGCUUUCAUUUUGGUGAGUUUU
This is a non-coding RNA of Thamnophis sirtalis, 505 nucleotides long. The record is from RefSeq and is a predicted model, not a curated record. NCBI's taxonomy places the organism in Eukaryota, Metazoa, Chordata, Lepidosauria, Squamata, Natricidae.